RNAcentral lists this ribosomal RNA (392 nucleotides) under uncultured bacterium. Its description in RNAcentral is "partial 16S ribosomal RNA". It matches the Rfam family "Bacterial small subunit ribosomal RNA", at positions 523 to 918 of the family's 1533-position model. The record is from RNAcentral.
AGACGGAGGAUCCGAGCGUUAUCCGGAUUUAUUGGGUUUAAAGGGUGCGCAGGCGGCCAUUUAAGUCAGCGGUUAAAUCGUGGGGCUCAACCCCAUUCUGCCGUUGAUACUGGGUGGCUUGAUUGCGGUCGAGGUUGGGGGAAUUCGUUGUGUAGCGGGGAAAUGCAUAGAUAUGACGAAGAACAACGAUUGCGUAGGCAGCUGACCAGACCGCAAAUGACGCUCAUGCACGAAAGUGCGGGGAUCGAACAGGAUUAGAUACCCUGGUAGUCCGCACAGUAAACGAUGAAUACUUGUUUUCGGCGAUAUAAUGUCGGAGGCAAAGCGAAAGCGAUAAGUAUUCCACCUGGGGAGUACGCCGGCAACGGUGAAACUCAAAGGAAUUGACGGGG